AUUGAACGCUGGCGGCAGGCCUAACACAUGCAAGUCGAGCGGAUAAAGGGAGCUUGCUCCUGGAUUCAGCUGCGGACGGGUGAGUAAUUCCUAGGAAUCUACCUGGUAGUUGGGGAUAACGUCCGUACACGGGCGCUAAUACCGCAUACGUCCUGAUGUAGAAAGUGAGGGUUCUUCGGACCUCACGCUAUCAGAUGAGCCUAGGUCGGAUUAGCUAGUUGGUUUGGUAAGGGCCUACCAAGGCGACGAUCCGUAACUGGUCUGAGAGGAUGAUCAGUCACACUGGAACUGAGACACGGUCCAGACUCCUACGGGAGGCAGCAGUGGGGAAUAUUGGACAAUGGGCGAAAGCCUGACGGAGCAACGCCGCGUGUGUGAAGAAGGUCUUCGGAUUGUAAAGCUCUUUAAGUUGGGAGGAAGGGAAGUAAGUUAAUACAUUGAUGUUUUGACGUUACCAAAAGAAAAAGCAACGGCUAACUUCGUG
RNAcentral lists this ribosomal RNA (484 nucleotides) under uncultured bacterium. RNAcentral's name for it is "partial 16S ribosomal RNA". It matches the Rfam family "Bacterial small subunit ribosomal RNA", at positions 30 to 507 of the family's 1533-position model. The record is from RNAcentral.